Molecule: long non-coding RNA, 721 nt
Organism: Ictalurus punctatus (channel catfish)
Lineage: Eukaryota; Metazoa; Chordata; Actinopteri; Siluriformes; Ictaluridae
Source: Ensembl
UUACUUGCGUUCUUACUAACUUAUUUACUUGUUUACUAACUUAUUUACUUACUAACUUAUUUACUUGCUUACUUACUAACUUAUUUACUUUUUUACUAACUAACUUAUUUACUUACUAACCUGCUUGCUUGCUUGCUUGCUUACUUAUUUACUUACGUGCUUAUUUACUUGUUUAUAUACUUACUGAAUCCUUGCAUCCCAAGGUAUCCGCUACAACCAGCACAUUUUCUUAAUUUAAUUCCGUGUUAGCGUUUCGAUCGAAGACCUUCAUGGGCAACAGAAGCGAAGAUGCUUCUGAGAAAGAUGUUUUUUGUUUCUCUUCUCUGAGGUCAUGUGAUGGUUAUAGGUAGGGACGAUAGGUAGGGACGGGCGGCGUACAGACUUGAAACGAUAUCACGAUAUUUCAUGUUUUUUUGGGGGGGGGGGGUUGCGGUAAGGAUAUAAAUGACGAUGUGAAAGUGGUAACGUUCAACACCAUGUUUCUGGCCUCGGCAGCAGACAGUUUUGAGAGCCGUGCAAACGUGAAUACUGAUCCCGAAAAAAGUCCGGCUUAGUCCUUCAUCAAAUGCUAAACUAUACCAUGCAAGUAGGCUUAAAAAUAUAAUAUGAAACGUGAACACCAAUACAUACUUGCAGGAUAUUAAUAAUAAUAAUAAUAGUAGUAGUAGUAGUAGUAGUAGUAUUAAUAAUAAUAAUAAUAAUAGUAGUAGUAGUAGUAUUA